This 447-nucleotide ribosomal RNA is filed under the name uncultured Alphaproteobacteria bacterium. Its description in RNAcentral is "bacterial SSU rRNA". It matches the Rfam family "Bacterial small subunit ribosomal RNA", at positions 29 to 505 of the family's 1533-position model. Lineage: Bacteria; Pseudomonadati; Pseudomonadota; Alphaproteobacteria. The record is from RNAcentral.
AGUGAACGCUGGCGGCGUGCUUAACACAUGCAAGUCGAACGAACACGACCGAAGCUUGCUUCGGUACGGUUAGUGGCAGACGGGUGAGUAAUACAUAGGAAUCUACCUAGUAGUACGGGAUAACUUUUGGAAACGAAAGCUAAUACCGUAUACAGCUGAGAAGUGAAAGAUUUAUCGCUAUUAGAUGAGCCUAUGCAAGAUUAGCUAGUUGGUGAGGUAAUGGCUUACCAAGGCAAUGAUCUUUAGUUGGUCUGAGAGGACGAACAACCACACUGGAACUGAGACACGGUCCAGACUCCUACGGGAGGCAGCAGUGAGGAAUUUUGGACAAUGGGCGAAAGCCUGAUCCAGCAACGCCGCGUGAAUGAUGAAGGCCUUAGGGUCGUAAAGUUCUUUCAGUGGGGAAGAUAAUGACGGUACCCACACAAGAAGCUCCGGCUAACUUCG